Paramuricea clavata is the source of this 208-nucleotide non-coding RNA. The record is from the annotation of a GenBank genome assembly. NCBI's taxonomy places the organism in Eukaryota, Metazoa, Cnidaria, Anthozoa, Malacalcyonacea, Plexauridae.
ACCCUUAUGCCAUACCUUAUCAAAUGCUUUAGUGAAAUCAAGAAAGACCAUACGUACUUCUUUCCCCAUAUCCAAGGCUUGAUAAAUUAGAUGAACAAUAUAGGUCAGUUGGUUAACAGUACUAUCACCAGGUCUGAAUCCAGACUGAAAAUCGCUAAGGAAAUGUAUUUCUAAUAAAAACUCAUACAGCCUUGCAAAUACAAUUUUU